GACGAACGCUGGCGGUGUGCUUAACACAUGCAAGUCGAACGGAAAGGCCCUGAUUUUGUGGGGUGCCCGAGGGCCGAACGGGUGCGUAACACGUGAGUAACCUGCCCUUGACUUUGGGAUAACUUCAGGAAACUGGGGUUAAUCCCGGAUAGGAGCCCCUGCUGCAUGGUGGGGGUUGGAACGUUUCGGCGGUUGGGGUUGAAUUCGCGGCUUAUCAGCUUGUUGGUGGGGUAGUGGAUGACCCAGGCUUUGACGGGUAGCCGGCCUGGGAGGGUGACCGGCCACAUGGGGCCUGAGAUACGGCCCAGACGCCUACGGGAGGCAGCAGUGGGGAAUAUUGCACAAUGGGCGGAAGCCUGAUGCAGCAACGCCGCGUGCGGGAUGACGGCCUUCGGGUUGUAAACCGCUUUCGCCUGUGACGAAGCGUGAGUGACGGUAAUGGGUAAAGAAGCACCGGCUAACUACGUG
This 468-nucleotide ribosomal RNA is filed under the name uncultured bacterium. RNAcentral describes it as "partial 16S ribosomal RNA". It matches the Rfam family "Bacterial small subunit ribosomal RNA", at positions 28 to 507 of the family's 1533-position model. The record is from RNAcentral.